AACGCGAAGAACCUUACCUGGGCUCGAAAUGUAGUGGACCACGGUGGAAACAUCGUUUUCUAGCAAUAGACCGCUAUAUAGGUGCUGCAUGGCUGUCGUCAGCUCGUGUCGUGAGAUGUUGGGUUAAGUCCCGCAACGAGCGCAACCCUUAUCUCCAGUUGCCAUCAUUCAGUUGGGCACUCUGGCGAAACCGCCUCGGAUAACGGGGAGGAAGGUGGGGAUGACGUCAAGUCCUCAUGGCCUUUAUGUCCAGGGCUACACACGUGCUACAAUGGCCGGUACAAACCGCUGCAACCCCGCGAGGGUGAGCUAAUCGGAAAAAGCCGGCCUCAGUUCGGAUUGGAGUCUGCAACUCGACUCCAUGAAGCUGGAAUCGCUAGUAAUCGUGGAUCAGCAUGCCACGGUGAAUACGUUCCCGGGCCUUGUACACACCGGCUAC
This 439-nucleotide ribosomal RNA is filed under the name uncultured bacterium. RNAcentral describes it as "bacterial SSU rRNA". It matches the Rfam family "Bacterial small subunit ribosomal RNA", at positions 958 to 1397 of the family's 1533-position model. The record is from RNAcentral.